RNAcentral lists this unclassified non-coding RNA (577 nucleotides) under Hevea brasiliensis (rubber tree). Lineage: Eukaryota; Viridiplantae; Streptophyta; Magnoliopsida; Malpighiales; Euphorbiaceae. The record is from RNAcentral.
GGAUAAUCUUCCUUUCCUGUACCAGCUAACUAGAACAUCAGUUAAUCCUUGUGGCAUCACAUGCCUUUUAGAUUAAUGAAAAUUUUUCAAAGCUGAUCAGCCCAUUUACAGUGUAAAAAGAGAUGAUUGAUUGUCUAAGCUUGCUCACCACAAAAGUAACAUCUGGAACAUAAUUGGAAACCCCUCCUGCCUAAGUUGUCCUGAGUAAGGACUGCCCCUUUAGCUAGUAUCCAUACAAAAGCAUGGAAUCUUGACUCUCCAUAUCAGCUUCCAUGGCCAGCAUUCCACUAAAUUGUUCGAUCUGUUCGGGUCUCUGUAAGCUGACUUGACUCAGAAUAUUUUUAACUCUUUAUUUAAGCUCCUUAAGUUGUAUUAGGCUUAAGCAUCAGCCCCUUUACAUGUUACGAACCUUAAACAGGCACUGAGAUGGCUCAGUUGGUUUGCGGAGGCUGCCACACAUUACUUAUGUACAUUCGUGGAGCAACAAGCGUGCAAUGUUCGUGCUGUCACACAGUCAAUUUAGCUAUGGAAGCAAAUCAGGUAGCACAUGUGAAUUGUGGCAACUGCCACAUGCUGC